Molecule: long non-coding RNA, 1117 nt
Organism: Oreochromis aureus
Lineage: Eukaryota; Metazoa; Chordata; Actinopteri; Cichliformes; Cichlidae
Exons: 3
Source: RefSeq, a predicted model, not a curated record
AUUCUGCUGAACCCAUAAGUUCUCUGAAGUUAUGCGUCCACCACCACGACCACAACCUGCACCACCACGACCACGGCCACCGCCAAUACGGCACCAUCAAGUCCCCCACCAUCACAUGGCCCCCAUGUCCAUCUCCACAGGAGAAGAUACAAAAGUGAAGAUUGGUGUGUUGUGCUAUGAUGAUGGAUUUGGAUAAGUGUAGGCGCAGACACAGAUAAGAGACAGGCACCUCUUCUGCCACAAGAAGGGGAGGGAUUGUCACGGGGACUCCAGCAGCUCCUGCAGCAGUGACUCUGACUAGAUGAAGAUUUCGGGGCCGGGCUUUGUUGGAAACAUUAGUAUUACCUAUCCUUUCUCUUCUGUUUUUUUUUAAACGUUUACUUAAAAAUCAUUUUAACAGAUGUAAGAAAAAACUACAUUAAAUAUAAAGAAUAUGUAAAACAGAAGGCUCAUUCACAUAUUUAGAAAAACUGGAUGUAUGGGUUUUGGGAGUAUCAUUUUAAGCCUUGAGCUUUGCUAUGCUUACCUUGUUUAUUAAAUUAGAACAUGACAAGCUUGGCUCAACUCUACCUUAGAAGCUGAGGAAACUGUAUUCUCAUGGGGUAGCAACCUGUCAAUCACAAGGCAGGUCCUCCUGGAAAUUGUUUACUGAGUUCAUAAGUCGGAAGCAGGUAUAUCUCUGAAAUUAUGCCAAUAAAAUUCUUUUGCAGCCAGCUGCCCCCUGCUGGUCAUCAAAGAGAAUGCAUCUUUUAGACGCAGAAAAUGCAGAUUUUACAUCCAUCUUUUGUGCACAGACUUUGAGUAAUUUUUAAUCAGCUUCCACUGUAUGGUUACCUUACAAUGAAAUAAUAAAUAUAAACGGAUUAUUCUUCUCUAGUCUGUCUCAUUUUUUCUGCCAAAGUCCUUUCUAGCCAGAAAUAUUUUGGCCAUUAAAAGAAUGCAGCUUUGAGGCACUUGCACAUCAGCAGACCAGGAAACAAUAACAUAACACAAACAAAAUUAUUUAUUAGGAGCGGUAUCAGAGACAGGUCCUAUGAAAUCUAUCAUUGUGUUUGCUGGGAUUUAUUUAACAAAUGAUGAAAUGACAUCUUGUGGUGGGAGUUCAGGCUUGCCCCUG